GACAUGGAUGGCUAGGGUUCCUGCUCACGCUUGCAGUGAGUGCACGGUCCAAGAGCCACCCGCCGCGCUGCCUGCAGGCUUGUAGGACCAUCAGCGCGGUACACGGCGGGAUAAAAGCCCGGGAGAU
Molecule: small RNA, 127 nt
Filed under: Arboricoccus pini
Lineage: Bacteria; Pseudomonadati; Pseudomonadota; Alphaproteobacteria; Geminicoccales; Geminicoccaceae
Also listed under: 1 other name
Description: Arboriscoccus pini Guanidine-I riboswitch aptamer
Rfam family: Guanidine-I riboswitch aptamer
About the family: This family represents a conserved RNA structure found upstream of the ykkC and yxkD genes in Bacillus subtilis and related genes in other bacteria.
Source: Rfam by way of RNAcentral